RNAcentral lists this ribosomal RNA (253 nucleotides) under uncultured bacterium. RNAcentral describes it as "partial 16S ribosomal RNA". It matches the Rfam family "Bacterial small subunit ribosomal RNA", at positions 524 to 776 of the family's 1533-position model. The record is from RNAcentral.
AACGUAGGUUCCGAGCGUUAUCCGGAUUUACUGGGCGUAAAGCGCGUUCAGGCGGUUUGGCAAGUCGGGCAUGAAAUCUCUCGGCUCAACCGGGAGAGGUUGUCCGAUACUGCUGGACUUGAGGGCAGUAGAGGGUGGUGGAAUUCCGGGUGUAGUGGUGAAAUGCGUAGAUAUCCGGAGGAACACCAGUGGCGAAAGCGGCCACCUGGACCGGUUCUGACGCUGAUGCGCGAAAGCGUGGGUAGCAAACAGG